AAGUCGUAACAAGGUUUCCGUAGGUGAACCUGCGGAAGGAUCAUUAAUGAAACUUCAAGUCGGCUGUUCUGUGCUGGUGGCAACACAUGUGCACGUUCAGUCGCAAUCCACACACCUGUGCCCUUUGACUCUGAGCACCGCCUGUAACACGGCAGAAGGUUUAAGAUGAAGGUCUUAACCUGGUACUCGAGUAGUUUACACACUCUGUAUGUAAUAGAAUGUAACUGUACAAUGUACAACCAUAAACAACUUUCAACAACGGAUCUCUUGGCUCUC
This 276-nucleotide unclassified non-coding RNA is filed under the name fungal sp. RNAcentral describes it as "partial internal transcribed spacer region". The stretch from base 1 to 46 matches the Rfam family "Eukaryotic small subunit ribosomal RNA", at positions 1786 to 1831 of the family's 1831-position model. The record is from RNAcentral. Lineage: Eukaryota; Fungi.